RNAcentral lists this ribosomal RNA (492 nucleotides) under uncultured bacterium. RNAcentral describes it as "partial 16S ribosomal RNA". It matches the Rfam family "Bacterial small subunit ribosomal RNA", at positions 28 to 507 of the family's 1533-position model. The record is from RNAcentral.
GAUGAACGCUAGCUACAGGCUUAACACAUGCAAGUCGAGGGGAAACGACAUCGAAAGCUUGCUUUUGAUGGGCGUCGACCGGCGCACGGGUGAGUAACGCGUAUCCAACCUGCCCAUCACUUGGGAAUAACCUUGCGAAAGUAAGACUAAUACCCAAUGACAUCCCACGAAGACAUCUGAAUGGGAUUAAAGAUUUAUCGGUGAUGGAUGGGGAUGCGUCUGAUUAGCUUGUUGGCGGGGUAACGGCCCACCAAGGCAACGAUCAGUAGGGGUUCUGAGAGGAAGGGCACCCACAGUGGAACUGAGACAAGGUCCAAACACCUACGGGAGGCAGCAGUGAGGAAUAUUGGUCAAGGGGCGAGAGCCUGAACCAGCCAAGUAGCGUGCAGGAUGACGGCCCUAUGGGUUGUAAACUGCUUUUAUAAGGGAAUAAAGUGGGUCUCGUGAGACUUUUUGCAUGUACCUUAUGAAUAAGGACCGGCUAAUUACGUG